UUUUUUUUUAUAAUAACAAAGUUCUAUUUAUAAUAACAAAGUUUACAAAUAGAUUCUAUGAUAAAUUAAAGAGUAGCAUGCCUCUAGAAAACCAACAGGCUAAAAAUCCGAAAAAUCAGCUAGCCUAAAAAAGUACCACUUAAUAACAAAGAAAAUAAUAUUCAGCAGUGCCAGAAAGAUACACCCCAGAUUCACCUACAAAGUCCACACAAAGUCCGGUGCAUCUUUCCGUUGCCCUGCCAAUGUCCGAUAUAGGUACAUCUUGUCCACUUUCUGUGCAUCAUCAAAAAUAAAAUCUGUCUGCUCAUUUUCGUUCAUGAUCUCCACAUUGAGCCGUGGCAUCUUCUUUGCAAGGGUCUUGCAGCCUCCAAGA
Molecule: unclassified non-coding RNA, 373 nt
Filed under: Hevea brasiliensis (rubber tree)
Lineage: Eukaryota; Viridiplantae; Streptophyta; Magnoliopsida; Malpighiales; Euphorbiaceae
Source: RNAcentral